GUAGGUGAGGGUGUAGAGAAGAAAAAAAAAAAAAACUCAUACAUAGUGCCAGUGAGAAUGAAAAUUGUUCCCUUCUUCCCUCACCAUUCCAUGUGGAUCCCUUCCGAAGCUGCGUGCUUGGUCAAAGAGGUCGGCCAUUCCUAAAUAGAGACCCACUGGUCUUAGGUCGAGGGUAUAAGAGUAGCUGCACUCUCCUGCUAGAACCUCCAAACAAGUUCUCAAGAAAGAAAAGUGUUGAUGUCUUUAUAAGUAAUGGCAUGGAAGUCCUCAGAAAAUAAAAUUGAAAAUACCGCAUGAUCCAGCAACACCAUCCCUCAGUAGUGAUCUGAAUUGCAUGAAAGU
Molecule: non-coding RNA, 342 nt
Organism: Erinaceus europaeus (western European hedgehog)
Lineage: Eukaryota; Metazoa; Chordata; Mammalia; Eulipotyphla; Erinaceidae
Source: Rfam